Molecule: ribosomal RNA, 242 nt
Filed under: uncultured Bacteroidota bacterium
Lineage: Bacteria; Pseudomonadati; Bacteroidota
Also listed under: 1 other name
Description: uncultured Bacteroidetes bacterium partial 16S ribosomal RNA
Rfam family: Bacterial small subunit ribosomal RNA
Source: RNAcentral
CACACUGUAAACGAUGAUAACUCGCUGUCGGCGAUACACAGUCGGUGGCCAAGCGAAAGCAUUAAGUUAUCCACCUGGGGAGUACGACCGCAAGGUUGAAACUCAAAGGAAUUGACGGGGGCCCGCACAAGCGGAGGAACAUGUGGUUUAAUUCGAUGAUACGCGAGGAACCUUACCCGGGCUCGAACGGUGCAUGAAUAUACGAGAGAUUGUAUAGUCCUUCGGGACAUGUAUCGAGGUGC